RNAcentral lists this ribosomal RNA (499 nucleotides) under Salinibacterium sp. RNAcentral's name for it is "bacterial SSU rRNA". It matches the Rfam family "Bacterial small subunit ribosomal RNA", at positions 275 to 786 of the family's 1533-position model. Lineage: Bacteria; Bacillati; Actinomycetota; Actinomycetes; Micrococcales; Microbacteriaceae. The record is from RNAcentral.
GACGACGGGUAGCCGGCCUGAGAGGGUGACCGGCCACACUGGGACUGAGACACGGCCCAGACUCCUACGGGAGGCAGCAGUGGGGAAUAUUGCACAAUGGGCGAAAGCCUGAUGCAGCAACGCCGCGUGAGGGACGACGGCCUUCGGGUUGUAAACCUCUUUUAGUAGGGAAGAAGCGAAAGUGACGGUACCUGCAGAAAAAGCACCGGCUAACUACGUGCCAGCAGCCGCGGUAAUACGUAGGGUGCAAGCGUUGUCCGGAAUUAUUGGGCGUAAAGAGCUCGUAGGCGGUUUGUCGCGUCUGCUGUGAAAUCCCGAGGCUCAACCUCGGGCCUGCAGUGGGUACGGGCAGACUAGAGUGCGGUAGGGGAGAUUGGAAUUCCUGGUGUAGCGGUGGAAUGCGCAGAUAUCAGGAGGAACACCGAUGGCGAAGGCAGAUCUCUGGGCCGUAACUGACGCUGAGGAGCGAAAGCGUGGGGAGCGAACAGGAUUAGAUACC